Long non-coding RNA from Chrysoperla carnea, 407 nucleotides. RefSeq lists it as uncharacterized. The transcript is spliced from 3 exons. Lineage: Eukaryota; Metazoa; Arthropoda; Insecta; Neuroptera; Chrysopidae. The record is from RefSeq and is a predicted model, not a curated record.
ACCGACUGGCCAACGAAGAACGGAACCCUUGUACCAAAUGAUCCAAUAAUCGUUUCCGAUCGAGUAAAUUUACCGGACGGUUUGGAACACUUGGUGAAGGUAAUGAAUCUAACGGGGUCAUGGUAAGAAAAUGAGCUGGUGUCAAAGGUAUGGGAUCGGUUGGGUCAGUACUCAACCAAGAUAGAGGCCUGGAAUUUAGUAAUGCCUCUAUUUGAACCAAUACCGUAUUCAACUCUUCAUAUGAAAGAAUUUGAUCCCCGACAACUUUGUAUAAAUGGGUCUUAACACACUUCACUUGCACUUCCCAUAUACCGGAAAAAUGUUGACUAAAAGGAGGCUGGAAUUUCCAGCCCCAAUAAAGUUAGUACCAUUAUCGGAGUACACCACUGAACAUGCGCUGCUUCUGG